This 933-nucleotide ribosomal RNA is filed under the name gamma proteobacterium M3-2B. RNAcentral's name for it is "bacterial SSU rRNA". It matches the Rfam family "Bacterial small subunit ribosomal RNA", at positions 61 to 985 of the family's 1533-position model. Lineage: Bacteria; Pseudomonadati; Pseudomonadota; Gammaproteobacteria. The record is from RNAcentral.
GUCGAGCGGNAACAUUUCUAGCUUGCUAGAAGAUGACGAGCGGCGGACGGGUGAGUAAUACUUGGGGAUCUGCCUGAUGGCGGNGGACAACCACUGGAAACGGUGGCUAAUACCGCAUAAUACCUACGGGUCAAAGUGUGGGACCUUCGGGCCACACGCCAUCAGAUGAACCCAAGCGAGAUUAGCUAGUUGGUGAGGUAAUGGCUCACCAAGGCGACGAUCUCUAGCUGUUCUGAGAGGAUGAUCAGCCACACUGGGACUGAGACACGGCCCAGACUCCUACGGGAGGCAGCAGUGGGGAAUAUUGGACAAUGGGCGCAAGCCUGAUCCAGCCAUGCCGCGUGUGUGAAGAAGGCCUUCGGGUUGUAAAGCACUUUCAGUGGUGAGGAAGGCGAGGUCGUUAAUAGCUGGCUCGAUUGACGUUAGCCACAGAAGAAGCACCGGCUAACUCCGUGCCAGCAGCCGCGGUAAUACGGAGGGUGCGAGCGUUAAUCGGAAUUACUGGGCGUAAAGCGCACGUAGGCGGCUUGUUAAGCAAGAUGUGAAAGCCCAGGGCUCAACCUUGGAAUUGCAUUUUNAACUGGCAAGCUAGAGUUUUGAAGAGGGUGGUAGAAUUUCCAGUGUAGCGGUGAAAUGCGUAGAUAUUGGAAGGAAUACCAGUGGCGAAGGCGGCCACCUGGUCAAAAACUGACGCUGAGGAGCGAAAGCGUGGGGAGCAAACAGGAUUAGAUACCCUGGUAGUCCACGCCGUAAACGAUGUCAACUAGUUGUUCGUGUCUUUGAGACGUGAGUAACGCAGCUAACGCACUAAGUUGACCGCCUGGGGAGUACGGCCGCAAGGUUAAAACUCAAAUGAAUUGACGGGGGCCCGCACAAGCGGUGGAGCAUGUGGUUUAAUUCGAUGCAACGCGAAGAACCUUACCAUCCCUUGAC